RNAcentral lists this ribosomal RNA (440 nucleotides) under uncultured bacterium. RNAcentral describes it as "partial 16S ribosomal RNA". It matches the Rfam family "Bacterial small subunit ribosomal RNA", at positions 338 to 795 of the family's 1533-position model. The record is from RNAcentral.
CCUACGGGUGGCUGCAGUGGGGAAUAUUGGACAAUGGGGGCAACCCUGAUCCAGCCAUGCCGCGUGAGUGAUGAAGGCCUUCGGGUUGUAAAGCUCUUUCGGUCGGGACGAUGAUGACGGUACCGACAGAAGAAGCCCCGGCUAACUCUGUGCCAGCAGCCGCGGUAAUACAGAGGGGGCGAGCGUUGUUCGGAAUUACUGGGCGUAAAGGGUGCGUAGGCGGUUUUCCAAGUCAGAUGUGAAAUCCCUGGGCUUAACCCAGGACGUGCAUUUGAGACUGGGAGGCUUGAGUAUGGGAGAGGAUGGUGGAAUACCCAGUGUAGAGGUGAAAUUCGUAGAGAUUGGGUAGAACACCGAUGGCGAAGGCAGCCAUCUGGCCCAUUACUGACGCUGAGGCACGAAAGCGUGGGGAGCAAACAGGAUUAGAUACCCCGGUAGUC